RNAcentral lists this ribosomal RNA (2771 nucleotides) under Triticum aestivum (bread wheat). RNAcentral's name for it is "partial small subunit ribosomal RNA". Lineage: Eukaryota; Viridiplantae; Streptophyta; Magnoliopsida; Poales; Poaceae. The record is from RNAcentral.
CUCCGCCGGGCUCCACCCCUUCCCCGCGCGCCUCCUUGCCGCCGGGCGCCGCCCCCUUCCUCGCGCGCCUCCUCGCCGCCGGGCGCUCCCCCCUCCAGAGCGCGCCUCCUCGCCGCCGGGCGCCACCCCCUUCCCCGCGCGCCUCCUCGCCGCCGGGCGCCGCCCCCUCCAGAGCGCUCCUCCUCGCCGCCGGGCGCCGCCCCCUCCAGAGCGCGCCUCCUCGCCGCCGGGCGCCGCUCCUCCUGCGCGCGCCUCCUCGCCAUCGGGCACCGCCCCCUCCUCGCGCGCCUUUUCUCCGCCAGACGCCGACCCCACCCUGCUGUCGGGCGUCAGCCGUCGGGAUCCAGCGCCCAACACCACCGUCUCCAUGUGUUGUCCUGCUGUUUCGCGCGGGAGGUGUUGGCCUCCUGCACCCGCCGGAUCCGGCCAUCCCCUUCCGUUCACCUCCGCCGCCCGAGGCCGUUCACCACCGCCACCAGUUCCCGUCCAACACCGGCCCCUCAAUCCGCGCGUCAACGACGCCCCUGUCAACCCACGCGAAGCUUCAAAAGAGGGAGUUGGAGGAGAUAAAGCAGGGGAUUGUUGAUGUGCCUCCCUGAUUGUUGCUCUCCUGUUGCUGGUGCCGAGCUCAGGGGGGUGGUCGCCGGCGGCGCCAUUCUCGACCCAGCUUCCGCCCUGCACGCAGCCAGCCUUGGAGACCACCCGCCACCACGGCCGUCGUGGCCCACCCCCUACAUCGACGGUGCUCAAGCGGCUCUUCUCACUGGCUCCUGCGACUCCCUCCUUCGCCAUGGAUACAACCAUCAUUGCAGGUGUGGAGAACCAAAAAGUUCUAAUAAUGGUGAAUCAGAAGUUCAAGUACAGUAAUCCGAGGGCGUGGGGGCAACUGCUGAUAGAGGCCGAGUCAAAGUGUCGUGACUGCUGAUGCAGAUCUUCAGCAUGGACUUUGAUGGAGAUACUCCUCUGAUGAGUCCUACUUCCAGAAGAUAGGAGUGAGAUGCGAUGGGACCUGACCAGAUGCUGAUGUUGGACUAGAAAAUUUAGUGAAAAACUAUUCUGUGCUGAAAGAACAGCUAUGCUUUGUCGGACUAGCACACCACGAGCGAUGGACUUGAAGGAUUUCAGUCAAUCAAGCUAGUUGUCGAAAAGGUAGUGUUCGCCGUCGACGGUGCUGCCAUUUGAGUUUAUGGCUCUGUCCAUGGAGGCUGCCUGGAAGUUUCUCUGUUUCCAUGUACGGUGUCGGUGUUCCAUGACAGCGGCCGUGACACGUGAUGUUCCUUGGUUAAGAUUGGUUUACUUUGGGUCUCACAUUAGGAGGACAGACACGGCGUGCAUUCAGUCUCAGAACCUGAAACUAACCUGACUGAGGCACAAGGAAGGAAGGGCCACCGUCCGAGGCGAUGCGUACAUAUAUACACCCAGGAGUCAGGACAGGACACAACAUCCGACGCGGCGUAUGUACUACACUGAGGACUCCCUCGUCACUGACAAAGACAAGAAAACCGGCAGCAUCCUCAGCCAGGUAGGUGUGAACCACACAGACGCUUACAACCAAAGCUAGCCGACGGCGCAUAAGCUACCUGCAAAAGAGAAGCCCUUCUUACAUCGACACCAUCUUAAUUUUUAUUCAGUUCAAUUUCCAAUUUUACUUCAGUUAAUUCUUAUUUUUAGUUUAGUCAGUUUCUUAUUUUAUUUUCCUUCAAUUUCUAAUUCUUUUUCAGUUCAGUUUCUAAUUUUACUAAAGUUCAUUUUCUAAUUCCAAACAGUUUGUGUAAAUUCCCAUCGAGCAGGUGUGCACGGCGAGCGGCUACUGAACUUGUGCGGCUGCUGCUUUUGGAUUGCCUAGGAAGCACAUCAUUAUAGAAGGCAAAAAUCUGUAACCUAUAUAAUUCAUGUGUGUUCUGACUUCUUGUUUCUCUAAAGCGGCCAAAUCCCGGUGCACCUGGUAGCUCAAACUUACACCAGAUGGCCAGUGACCAACUUCCCUGCCUCUACAAGCUCCUCGGGGAUGACUUGGUGGUAGCUGGGAUCCCCUAAAGCGGCCAAAUCCCGGUGCACCUGGGCGCCGCUCGUGAUCCCCUCUCCUUCAGCUCCACUUCGCGUCGUCGUCAGUCCACAGGAGUAGGGGCGGUGUGCCCAUCAACAAAAAAGAACAGAAGGUCAUCGAAGCGGCCGCCAGCUCUCCCGCGUGAUGCAGCAACUGAUGUUGUUCUCUUUCUCAUACAUGCGCGUGUGCAGCAGCAACCAUGACUCACUCACUCUCUCUCAUUUGCGCAUGCGACAUCUCACUCAUGUGUUGCAGCUCCUGGUUGGGCUCCUGGAUCGGUGUCUAUGUUGUGUGUGUGCAGUUCGACGUGAUUUGGUUGGACAGGAAGGGAGAAGCAACAGGGAGAGUACGGGUUGGCUGAUGAUGGCUGAUGACGAACCUGCUGCUGUCUUGCUCUAUAAUGGUCUCUGAUCCAAUGUAUUUUAAUUUCUCUGCGGUGUAGCUUGCUAUAAAAGAUGAAAUAUAAGAGUUCAUUGUGCAAAAACUUGUGGGAUCCAUGUAAGGUGAACGAGAAAGUAUAGUUAAAAAGUUUGAUAUUUUUUUAUUGAGGAGGUAAAUGUGGUUGGCGGCCUCUACAAACUAGUGGUUGGCUGCUCCCAUCGGUAAAUGUGAUCAGGUUCAGCAGCUAGCUCUUCCUCGAGCAACCAUUUAAAGAACUUUAUUGUGUUCUUGUGGUGUUGAUUGAUUUUAGGAUUAGUAAAUUUGAUAGCUAGCUUGCGUAUGG